UGUUCAUCGUCCAUUUUCGGAAAAUGUAAUUGUUGUUUUCGACAUGUUAGGAGAGGAGACGGUAUGGUUUUCUAAAUAUCUAUGUUUGUUUUGAUGUUUUGAUACUUGUUGCUAGUGAUCUUGCAAACUGUUACUGUGACUUCUCCAAGUCCUACUGAUAUACCUUGUCAAAUCAGAUGCCCUGUAGUCUUGGUGGAGGCUAAGUGGUAUGCAUUGAAUUCGUAGCUGCUGAAAUUGAAAUUUAUUUUUUCUGGAGUGACACUGGCAAGCGAUGGCAUUGGCGACAGAAGAACUUUGCUUCCUUCCAGGAGAGCUGCAUCACAGUCGGAUCCUGUCCAUGCACAUGCGAUCAUGCUGUAUUGUACUUGUAGACAUUCGGGAGCUGAUUUUGACCCGAGAAAAUAUUAAUUUUUUAAACAUUCAUGAAGAGGAUAUUGUUGCUGUAGCUAGCUGACAGACAUAACCUGUGGCAGUGGUGUAUGGAAUCAGCUUGCAAGGUCUGUAGCAACUCGAUCAUGCAGAGAAGGAGCUGAACUGCUCACGCACUCGCUACUGCUCUCGCAAGAUGAUAAGAUUGGCUUCUCUCCAGUGAUCCAGCCCCCCUCAAAGCAUGGAUCCACUGCACUUUGUCGUCGAACACAUCAACACGCCUGUUGACGUACACUGGGAAAGGUAUCACUUCACGAUGAGGAGCACACAGCACUCGUGGAGGCUUGUGCUGGGUGAGUGGCUUCUCUCCAGUGAUGCAGGCCACCUGGAGGCAUCGGGCCAAGUGCGUUCUUUGCCGCAAGGGCCAUAUCAAAACAGCAACACCAGCAAUGCCACGACUUCCUGACUUCAAGACAACUGGACCACAUCAGUCAUCUGCCAUAGUUGGUGCCGGCUAUGUCGUCCCGUUCUAUGCACGCCAGGGUCGAGAUCGGUCACAACUCAAAGAGAUCUGUAUGUGUGUUUACAUGUUCCUGACUAGGGCUUGUCAUUUCGAGGUUAUCUCUGGACAACGACGGUUUUCUCCUGGCUCUUAGACCCCGAUUCACCAUGCGACGUCGUGUGCCACAAGAGAUGCAAUCGGACAACGGUACCAAUUUUCUUGUUGCUGAUCAAGAGGUAAAAGCAGCUGUCAAGUUUCUCAACUACUCCAGACUAGCAGCAGAAGGUCAUACCGCGACAUUACCUGGUACUUCAAGCCACCAAGUGCACCACACUUUGGCGGUGUGUUCUAGGUAAGGGCCAAGGCAAUGAAACGACUGCUGCAAGAAGACCUUCAGCUGCUAUUGCCACAACACUUUCUCACUGGCCAUGCUAGGGCAACUAUUGCUGCUGAAGCCAACACAUCUACAAUUACUCAAGUUCACCCGAGGAAGUGCUGGGAGUUUGUGCAACGUAUUGUAGAUCAGGUAUGGAAACGUUAGCUGAAAGAGACUGUUCCCAAGCUGGGCAUCCAGGUGAUGUGGUUGCUACAACAGCGUAACGCUAAGAAAGGAGACAUCGUGCUUGUGAUGGAUGAGCACACAGCAAUUGCACAGUGGCCACUUGGACGUAUGCUUAUGACCUAUCCAGUCGGCUCCAGUUACAACUGCCGGUACACAUGAUACAUGAGCUGUCUGACCCCUUUCAUGCAUUCGUAUGCAGCUGUCACCUAACACCGGCACCUUUUGUCAUCUACUAGUAUGUAUCAUUUGCCGCUACGCUAGGAUCGGGAUGGUAGUCUGUGAUCCGUAGGCGUAGAUCGGUGCUUGUUUUCCUUGGUGUGUGAGUUUUAGGUUCCUGCUUCGGUGGUGCAGGUUAUUGGACUUGUUUUAGUUGAGUUAGCUGUUUGGCACGAGAAUGAAAGAGUAAUAACACAGUCUUCUUAUAGUACAGUAACGACGUUACGUUUGUGGAAUGGUGAAUCAAGACGAGAGGUAGAAACAUAUGCUAUAAUGUCCACUAACACCACCAGUUCCUUGACGAUCAGCUCAUGCGAUAACAUUGCACGAAACUGGCCGACAGUACUGAUGUUCAACAACUAACUGGCUAUCAGCUCUAGCAUGUCUUGUAGGUCCUUGGUCCUUUUCUUUCCAUCCAAGUUUUCAUAUCCAAUUGCCAUUGUUUUUGUUGUGUUUUUUCUUCUUGUUGUCUUCGUCUUUUACUCACUCAUGUGCUCUUUAUCACUUUUCCUUCACGAGGGAGGUAUGGUAGAUUGAUUCUCCUAUUUCUGUGUAAUUUACAUGUACUACUGUGUUCGAUGGUGAUGAACCACGAUGCAUUGAUUAUCAUGAAUGCAUGUGACGUGCGUCAUAGAUAGAUAGAUCUGAUUUCUAUGGCUGGCGUCUAUUACGCCUGACUGCUUUCCGCCUUAGGCUUGCAUUCACAACGAAACGUACUAUUAUUUCUUCACGGCCACAUGCAUGUACGAUGCAAUGCUGUUAUGUCGUUGCCUGUUCAUACUGUCCUGGAGCUGGAAGAACCCGCUAGUCUUACUUCUUCUACUUUUAGUUGUUACUAUCUUGCCUAAGUGGGCAGUUUAAAAAAUGUUUGCAGCGGUUGUGCUUCGGUUUAUAGUUAUAUCAAGGAACGUUAGAACAUACGGUUCUCUGUGA
Sycon ciliatum is the source of this 2582-nucleotide long non-coding RNA. RefSeq lists it as uncharacterized. Lineage: Eukaryota; Metazoa; Porifera; Calcarea; Leucosolenida; Sycettidae. The record is from RefSeq and is a predicted model, not a curated record. The transcript has 2 exons.